CGUAACGCGUAUGCAAUCUACCUUGUACUGGAGUAUAGCCCAGGGAAACUUGGAUUAAUCCUCCAUAGUCUAUAUUAAUGGCAUCAUUUUAUAUAGUAAAGGUUACGGUACAAGAUGAGCAUGCGUCCUAUUAGCUAGUAGGUGUGGUAACGGCACACCUAGGCAACGAUAGGUAGGGGUCCUGAGAGGGAGAUCCCCCACACUGGUACUGAGACACGGACCAGACUCCUACGGGAGGCAGCAGUGAGGAAUAUUGGACAAUGGGCGCAAGCCUGAUCCAGCCAUGCCGCGUGCAGGAAGACUGCCCUAUGGGUUGUAAACUGCUUUUAUACGGGAAGAAUAAGUGUUACGUGUAGCACGAUGACGGUACCGUAAGAAUAAGCACCGGCUAACUCCGUGCCAGCAGCCGCGGUAAUACGGAGGGUGCAAGCGUUAUCCGGAAUCAUUGGGUUUAAAGGGUCCGUAGGUGGACUAAUAAGUCAGUGGUGAAAGUCUGCAGCUUAACUGUAGAAUUGCCAUUGAUACUGUUAGUCUUGAAUUGUUGUGAAGUAACUAGAAUAUGUAGUGUAGCGGUGAAAUGCAUAGAUAUUACAUAGAAUACCGAUUGCGAAGGCAGGUUACUAACAAUAUAUUGACACUGAUGGACGAAAGC
This 652-nucleotide ribosomal RNA is filed under the name Leeuwenhoekiella sp. DG1687. RNAcentral describes it as "bacterial SSU rRNA". It matches the Rfam family "Bacterial small subunit ribosomal RNA", at positions 109 to 760 of the family's 1533-position model. Lineage: Bacteria; Pseudomonadati; Bacteroidota; Flavobacteriia; Flavobacteriales; Flavobacteriaceae. The record is from RNAcentral.